CUACGGAGGACGCGAGCGUUAUCCGGAUUCAUUGGGUUUAAAGGGUGCGCAGGCGGCCGUGCAAGUCAGCGGUGAAAGCCCGGGGCUCAACCCCGGAAGUGCCGUUGAUACUGCAUGGCUGGAAUGCGGUCGAGGCGGGCGGAACGUGGCGUGUAGCGGGGAAAUGCGUAGAUAUGGCACAGAACGCCGAUGGCGGAGGCAGCUCGCCAGGCCUGCAUUGACGCUCGGGCACGAAAGCGUGGGGAUCGAACAGGAUUAGAUACCCUGGUAGUCCACGCCGUAAACGAUGGGCGCUCGUCGUCGGCGGCAGACAGUCGGCGGCCAAGCGAAAGCGAUAAGCGCCCCACCUGGGGAGUACGGUCGCAAGGCUGAAACUCAAAUGAAUUGACGGGG
Molecule: ribosomal RNA, 393 nt
Filed under: uncultured bacterium
Lineage: Bacteria
Description: partial 16S ribosomal RNA
Rfam family: Bacterial small subunit ribosomal RNA
Source: RNAcentral